GCGGGCAUGGUCUAGUGGCUAUGACGUCCGCCUAACACGCGGAAGAUCCCGGGUUCGAUCCCCGGUGCCCGUA
Non-coding RNA from Eimeria mitis, 73 nucleotides. Lineage: Eukaryota; Apicomplexa; Conoidasida; Eucoccidiorida; Eimeriidae. The record is from Rfam.